Long non-coding RNA from Zeugodacus cucurbitae (melon fly), 1651 nucleotides. RefSeq lists it as uncharacterized. The transcript is spliced from 2 exons. The record is from RefSeq and is a predicted model, not a curated record. NCBI's taxonomy places the organism in Eukaryota, Metazoa, Arthropoda, Insecta, Diptera, Tephritidae.
UGAUUCACAUUGUUCUUGCACAAAUUGUUCCAAAACGUAUAAUACAGUUAUGUCAACAUAUAUAAAACGACAAAAAAAUUACUGUUAUUAAUAAGCAAUGCACAAGAAACUGAACCACAAAACAAAAAUACAGAUGUCGUUGCUCGUCAUCAGCUUUUGUUUUACUUAUACAUUCCUUGAUAAGUAGGAUCGCCAAAUGUUAGUGAAAAUCAAAAAGAAGAAUGUGUGAAACAAAUGAAAUUACUAUGUAAUAGCAAGUACACCAGUUGUUCAGUAGCUUCUUCACUCAUGUAUGAGUAGAUAUUUGCUGAAAAUACAUGCCUAUGAAUGUGAGUGGACAUCACCACCGUAUUUGAAGCAUGUUAAUCAUGUGAAUCUGUGUAAUCAAAUUAAUCACUCUUGCAGUUCUCUGGUGUGCACAUACUUUUGACUACUGGUAUUCAUUAUUUCCUUUGGUCUGUCAUAUGUCCAUCUAUUCUAACUAUACUUACAUCCUUCGCUUAGAAAUAGAUCAAGAUUUACAACUACAUAACAUUUUAUUGUGCUGCAACAACAAUAUAUAAAGCUUUUUCUGUGGAAUUUGUAAAACACGUUCAACGUGUAAAUACUUGUGUCUAUCUCUGUAUAUAAAUUUUUGUUUGUAUUUACAUUUCUUAAAUAUUUGCCCCUAUUUUCGUUGUCGUUAUCGUUUUAAUAAGAACGCCUAUUUGGCAUUACUGUUGGCGUUAUCGACAUUUAUCGAAAAUAAAUUGAGAUUCCCCAAUUGAAACGACUAUAGAAUUGACAUAGAAACAGUCGUUCUUUGUCGUUGCUAUAAUUGAGAGCGAUAUAGAAACGACGCGGUUAUUUGAAGUGAAGAUGAAAAUUCCAAAUCGGAAACAGUUUGAAAUUUUAAUUUCUGAAAGCUGUUGCGAAUUUAAUGCAGUUCGGUAAUUAGCUGGACCUCCAGGUAUACCAGCAAUGGCAGGAAGUGCUAUAAUCGGUGGAGUGUUACUGGCUUUAAUUGAAGGAGUUGGAAUUUUAUUUACCCGUCUUUCUGCAGAACAAUUUCGAAAUCCUACACCACCAAUUGAAGAUCCGAUAGCACUAGGCGAUACUGCACAAUCUUUAGGUUUGGGUCAAACCCAUCAGCAUCAAUCACAGUAUCAGUGAAUACGCGUUGUAAUAUGUACAGGAUUCUUAUUUAUACAUAUGCGUUGUAACAUAUUUGUGAACCAAGUUCAUAACGGUGUAAAUUUAUUUUUAAUAGACCAUAAUAUUUAGCAAUUUUACAAUUUCUGAAAAUUACGUUAUAUUAACAUUUAAAUCUUAUAUUUCAAUAGUCAUUUGUAAUAUUCUGAUGAUUAUGUGAAAUAAAUUUAAAUUAAAUAAUGAGUUUGAACAAAGAAAAACUUAAGCCCAAGGUAACAAAAUUAAGGCAAACCACAAACGAAACUAUAACCUAUAUUUAAUUCCAAUUAUUCCAACAGAAAAUGUAUUAUCAAAAUAAUUUCUUGUAGCACACGAGUCAUGAGAGUCUUGUUCACCUAAUGGUUGUUUUUAAUAUCUAAAACUAAACAAGUUAGGUAUAGUGUCGCAAAACAAAAUGGUCAACGAUAAGUUGAGAUAUCUUAAUAAAACUUGGUUUACGUGUUUACCUUAAAAGUAAAAA